AGCGAACGCUGGCGGCAGGCCUAAUACAUGCAAGUCGAACGGUCUCUUCGGAGGCAGUGGCGGACGGGUGAGUAACGCGUGGGAAUAUGCCCUUUGGUACGGAACAACUGAGGGAAACUUCAGCUAAUACCGUAUGUGCCCUUCGGGGGAAAGAUUUAUCGCCAUUGGAGUAGCCCGCGUUGGAUUAGGUAGUUGGUGGGGUAAAGGCCUACCAAGCCUACGAUCCAUAGCUGGUCUGAGAGGAUGAUCAGCCACACUGGGACUGAGACACGGCCCAGACUCCUACGGGAGGCAGCAGUAGGGAAUCUUGCGCAAUGGGCGAAAGCCUGACGCAGCCAUGCCGCGUGAAUGAUGAAGGUCUUAGGAUUGUAAAAUUCUUUACACCGGGGAAGAUAAUGACGGUACCCGGGGAAGAAGCCCCGGCUAACUUCGUGCCAGCAGCCGCGGUAAU
Molecule: ribosomal RNA, 451 nt
Filed under: uncultured bacterium
Lineage: Bacteria
Description: bacterial SSU rRNA
Rfam family: Bacterial small subunit ribosomal RNA
Source: RNAcentral